RNAcentral lists this long non-coding RNA (247 nucleotides) under Sinocyclocheilus grahami. RNAcentral's name for it is "lncRNA (ENSSGRG00000008361.1)". Lineage: Eukaryota; Metazoa; Chordata; Actinopteri; Cypriniformes; Cyprinidae. The record is from RNAcentral.
AAAGAUGAGAGAUUAUAACCGUUCGUCUGUGUGCAGGACAUCCUGAAUCACCUCAUUAAUGACAUCGAGGCCUUCGCAGGCCGACUGACAGCCGUCGCGUCAAAGAUGGACAAGAAGAAAAAGAAGAAGAAGCAUAAGGCUGUGAAGGGAAUGCCGUCAGAGGAGCAGUUCUCCGUCUGUCUGAGGAAAAUCAAGAUGGCCUUUAACCUGCUGGCCAGCCUGCAGGGGAAGAUUAACAAUCCCAGCG